GAUUUUGUAAUUUUACAUCCAGGAUCUUCAGGAGAAUUAAGCGAAACCCAAACUCCUUGUUCUCAACAAAGACCUUCUGUAUGGCCAAGAACAUGAGUCUACUCCCCUAAGGUAUUGAAGCGCAGAAGAAAUGUUCUCUAAAAUGUUUUCAUGCUUUUUAGUUACUGCAACAUUUUAACACUAGCUUAUGUUUGAUAUAGAAGAUGAUGUAGCCCUGGAGCUGCUGCCAGUACUCCUCCCUGCUCCACCUUACUAAUUUGGGAGAAGAGUUUCAGACCCAUCAACCUGGAAGUUCAGAAGGCUUCAUUGAUACCCAGCCUAUCUUUUGUAUGGCCAAGAAGAGAAAGGAGCGGCCAUCUUCUCAACAACAUGAAUUUUCUCCCUUAAGGUAUUGAAGCUCAAGAGAUGUUUUCUAAACUGUUUUUAACAUUUAACAUUUUAACACAAGCUUAUGUUUGCCAGACAGACAAGAUGAUGUAGCCCUGCGGCUGCUGCCAGUUCUCCUCCCUGUUCCACCUUACACAUUUGGGAUCAGAGUUUCAGACCCAUCAACCUGGAAGUUCAGAUGGUUUCAUUGAUAUCCAGCCUGUUGGGACAAACCUGGUGGCGCAUCUACAAAAUGUGACAACCCGUAUGUCCUCAUGCAGGGAGACAGGCAAAAAUGCUAAAGUGUCGUUAAAAAUGCUCCUUGUUUAAUGGCUGAAAGUUUUACUUGUAGUUUGCUAUAAAAUAGACUUUUUACAUGAAAUGUUUUCUAAUGUGUAGUAACAGAUACUUCUGGAGUUGUAACCAAAUGAGUUGAAGUGAUUUAACUAUAUACUUUUGAAACAACUUACUUAUGUUUUUGUUACUUUUGUAAAUGAAAUCUGCUGGCUCUAUAUAUGUAUCACGUGAAAAUAAAAGAGGCUUUAAAUU
Poecilia latipinna (sailfin molly) is the source of this 915-nucleotide long non-coding RNA. RefSeq lists it as uncharacterized. The transcript is spliced from 3 exons. The record is from RefSeq and is a predicted model, not a curated record. Lineage: Eukaryota; Metazoa; Chordata; Actinopteri; Cyprinodontiformes; Poeciliidae.